GAUGAACGCUGGCGGUGUGCCUAAUACAUGCAAGUCGAGCGAACAGACGAGGAGCUUACUCCUCUGACGUUAGCGGCGGACGGGUGAGUAACACGUGGAUAACCUACCUAUAAGACUGGGAUAACUUCGGGAAACCGGAGCUAAUACCGGAUAAUAUGUUGAACCGCAUGGUUCAAUAGUGAAAGACGGUCUUGCUGUCACUUAUAGAUGGAUCCGCGUCGCAUUAGCUAGUUGGUAAGGUAACGGCUUACCAAGGCAACGAUGCGUAGCCGACCUGAGAGGGUGAUCGGCCACACUGGAACUGAGACACGGUCCAGACUCCUACGGGAGGCAGCAGUAGGGAAUCUUCCGCAAUGGGCGAAAGCCUGACGGAGCAACGCCGCGUGAGUGAAGAAGGUCUUCGGAUCGUAAAACUCUGUUAUUAGGGAAGAACAAAUGUGUAAGUAACUAUGCACGUCUUGACGGUACCUAAUCAGAAAGCCACGGCUAACUACGUG
This 497-nucleotide ribosomal RNA is filed under the name uncultured bacterium. RNAcentral's name for it is "partial 16S ribosomal RNA". It matches the Rfam family "Bacterial small subunit ribosomal RNA", at positions 28 to 507 of the family's 1533-position model. The record is from RNAcentral.